GCCCUCGUAGCUCAAUGGUAGAGCGCGUCACUAGUACCGUAGCAAGUCAAUGACGAGGUUGCCGGUUCGAUUCCGUCCGAGGGCA
Molecule: transfer RNA, 85 nt
Rfam family: tRNA
About the family: Transfer RNA (tRNA) molecules are approximately 80 nucleotides in length. Their secondary structure includes four short double-helical elements and three loops (D, anti-codon, and T loops). Further hydrogen bonds mediate the characteristic L-shaped molecular structure. tRNAs have two regions of fundamental functional importance: the anti-codon, which is responsible for specific mRNA codon recognition, and the 3' end, to which the tRNAs corresponding amino acid is attached (by aminoacyl-tRNA synthetases). tRNAs cope with the degeneracy of the genetic code in two manners: having more than one tRNA (with a specific anti-codon) for a particular amino acid; and 'wobble' base-pairing, i.e. permitting non-standard base-pairing at the 3rd anti-codon position.
Source: Rfam